Molecule: non-coding RNA, 758 nt
Organism: Phoenix dactylifera (date palm)
Lineage: Eukaryota; Viridiplantae; Streptophyta; Magnoliopsida; Arecales; Arecaceae
Source: RefSeq, a predicted model, not a curated record
GCCGGAAAGAUGUUAAGAGCUCAGCUGCUCUGUUGCAAGAUGGGGUAAUCCUGCUCUUCCACAAACCCAAACACGGGCUAUAUGAACACAAGUAGCUGCCGCCGGGGCUGUUGGCCGUUUCUCGGACAAUGCCGGAGAGCUUGUUCUGUGGUCAAAAGUUGUUGAGUUUCCUAGAUUAGUAUAAUAUUGGGCCGGCCAUUAAGCUCCAAAUGGACGGAAUCAUGGAGAGAAGCUACUUGCAUUAAAAAUUUGAAGUGGAGCAGGCGAAUGGACGUGGAAAGAGUUUUGUAGAACUGGGUCCUUGUCCAUUGCCCUUGUUUUGUACAAUUAGGAUCCAAUUUCCUAAACUGGUUCGGCUCCCACUCUUCCUCCUUUUCCGUCUCUCUUCGUCGUUCUCUCUUUGUCCUCUCCUUUGCUCUCUCUUCGGAGAUUACGCCAGAGAUCAAUUCGACCUCUAUUGCGGACCCAUCGGAUUGGACGGAGAGAGGUUUAUCAAUGGACCCAUGGUCUGAUGCUCCAAGAGAUAUCUUAGAAGUAAUUGCUGAAGAACUAAAAUUUUCCUCAUUUCGGUGCUGUUUGCAAGACAUGGCGCUCUGUUUAUAUGGAGAAUCGUCAUCAUCUUCCUCAGAAACUUCUGAUAUGCCGUUGUCAUCCUCGCCAACUUGCAGUUCCAUUGCUUUUGUGCCCAUAUAAGGAAGACGCAGAUUCAUGCAAGUUUGUUUGCCUAUCUGAUGAAAAGGUUUAUGGUGGAUUCUUUC